GACGAACGCUGGCGGCGUGCUUAACACAUGCAAGUCGAACGAAGAGCGAUGGAAGCUUGCUUCUAUCAAUCUUAGUGGCGAACGGGUGAGUAACGCGUAAUCAACCUGCCCUUCAGAGGGGGACAACAGUUGGAAACGACUGCUAAUACCGCAUACGAUCUAAACUCGGCAUCGAGGAUAGAUGAAAGGUGGCCUCUACAUGUAAGCUAUCACUGAAGGAGGGGAUUGCGUCUGAUUAGCUAGUUGGAGGGGUAACGGCCCACCAAGGCGAUGAUCAGUAGCCGGUCUGAGAGGAUGAACGGCCACAUUGGGAUGAGACACGGCCCAGACUCCUACGGGAGGCAGCAGUGGGGAAUCUUCCGCAAUGGACGAAAGUCUGACGGAGCAACGCCGCGUGAGUGAUGACGGCCUUCGGGUUGUAAAGCUCUGUUAAUU
Molecule: ribosomal RNA, 435 nt
Filed under: Veillonella parvula
Lineage: Bacteria; Bacillati; Bacillota; Negativicutes; Veillonellales; Veillonellaceae
Description: bacterial SSU rRNA
Rfam family: Bacterial small subunit ribosomal RNA
Source: RNAcentral